AGUCCUACUCCUUCGACCUCUGCCGCAGCCCGUGCCGCCGCCACCUCCCGGGAAGAGAGGAAGCGGGAGAGGAGCCCACGUCGCCUGUCACCCAAUAUUUCCAGCCGCGCAGCCCCGAAGAGUGUAAGAUGUUCGCCUGCGCCAAGCUCGCCUGCACCCCCUCUCUGAUCCGAGCUGGAUCCAGAGUUGCAUACAGACCAAUUUCUGCAUCAGUGUUAUCUCGACCAGAGGCCAGUAGGACUGGAGAGGGCUCUGCGGUAUUUAAUGGGGCCCAGAAUGGUGUGUCUCAGCUAAUCCAAAGGGAGUUUCAGACCAGUGCAAUCAGCAGAGACAUUGAUACUGCUGCCAAAUUUAUUGGUGCAGGUGCUGCAACAGUAGGAGUGGCUGGUUCUGGUGCUGGUAUUGGAACAGUCUUUGGCAGCCUUAUCAUUGGUUAUGCCAGGUAAUCAUUUCUAUCCCUAAAUAAGUUAAAGAGCAUGCUUACAAUAGUUGGAAACUUAGCUACUGAAAUAAUAGCUACUUUGCAUUAAGUGCUUACUCUCUGUCUUGCAUUAUAUUUAAAGGGCUUUGUAUGCAUUAUUUCACUUAAUUCUCAUAACACCAUUUGGGGUGUUAUGAGAAUAACAUCUAUGAAGGACUAGAGACACAGAGGUCACAUUACUUGCCCAGGUCAUAGCUAGUAAAUGUCAGAAAAUGAAUUUUAACUAAGUGUGACUUCAGAGUCUGCAUUCCUAAUUGUUAAGCUGUUUUGGGAAUAAAAUUAUUAGAGCACAUUCCUUAAAAGGAUCAAUUUAUUUUAUUUAAGACCUAAACUGUCAGAUCUUAAAAGGUGUAGAUCAUAUUUUCAGAGGGAUAAGAAUGUCAGAACCCAUCAAAAUGAAUGAAAACUAACCAUUUAUAUUGACAGACAGCUCCCUACCUUUAUACCAUAUUAUCAGAAUUGAAGGAGAAUAGUGUAAGAGAGAUCUAGGCAAAUACUCUUCCAGCAGACUUUUCAGUUUACAAAAAUCCCCACACUAGUAAUCUGAUUCUUUAACAUUUACUAAACAUGUUGAAACUAAUAUUUCAAAGUAACGGUCAUAUAUGGUCUCUUUUAGAAACCCUUCGCUGAAGCAGCAGCUGUUCUCAUAUGCUAUCCUGGGAUUUGCCUUGUCUGAAGCUAUGGGUCUCUUUUGUUUGAUGGUUGCUUUCUUGAUUUUGUUUGCCAUGUAACAAAUUACUGCUUGACAUGUUCGCAUUCAUAUUAAUUACGGAUGUAAUUCUGUGUAUCUUACUGUGACUCCGAAAACUGUAGUAUUGGUGUCAUGGAAAUGU
This 1314-nucleotide small RNA is filed under the name Pongo abelii (Sumatran orangutan). RNAcentral's name for it is "retained intron". Lineage: Eukaryota; Metazoa; Chordata; Mammalia; Primates; Hominidae. The record is from RNAcentral.